GGCUAGUCCGAAGGUAGUGAGCAAUCUGAAUUGAUUGUUCAGUCAGUACAGAUCAAACUCCUUGUUCUACCUUUGCCGCCUUCUCACUAUUGCAAUUAACUAGUCUUAA
Molecule: unclassified non-coding RNA, 109 nt
Organism: Chlorocebus sabaeus (green monkey)
Lineage: Eukaryota; Metazoa; Chordata; Mammalia; Primates; Cercopithecidae
Rfam family: Y RNA
About the family: Y RNAs are components of the Ro ribonucleoprotein particle (Ro RNP), in association with Ro60 and La proteins. The Y RNAs and Ro60 and La proteins are well conserved, but the function of the Ro RNP is not known.
Source: Ensembl